Amblyraja radiata (thorny skate) is the source of this 111-nucleotide long non-coding RNA. RefSeq lists it as uncharacterized. The record is from RefSeq and is a predicted model, not a curated record. The transcript is spliced from 3 exons. Lineage: Eukaryota; Metazoa; Chordata; Chondrichthyes; Rajiformes; Rajidae.
AGUAAGAAUGUAUGAAUAAGUUUAUUGGCCAAGUAUUCACAUACAAGGAAUUUGCCUUGGUGCUCCGCCCACAAGUAACAACAUGACAUUCAGUGAUAGUUAGGAAUGACA